UACGAAGGGUGCAAGCGUUGUUCGGAAUUACUGGGCGUAAAGCGCGCGUAGGCGGUCUACUAAGUCAGACGUGAAAGCCCUGAGCUUAACUCGGGAACGGCGUUUGAUACUGGUAGACUAGAGAUUCAGAGAGGUGAGUGGAAUUCCUAGUGUAGAGGUGAAAUUCGUAGAUAUUAGGAGGAACAUCAGUGGCGAAGGCGGCUCACUGGCUGAAUACUGACGCUAAGGCGCGAAAGCGUGGGGAGCAAAC
Molecule: ribosomal RNA, 250 nt
Filed under: uncultured bacterium
Lineage: Bacteria
Description: partial 16S ribosomal RNA
Rfam family: Bacterial small subunit ribosomal RNA
Source: RNAcentral